Molecule: ribosomal RNA, 253 nt
Filed under: uncultured bacterium
Lineage: Bacteria
Description: partial 16S ribosomal RNA
Rfam family: Bacterial small subunit ribosomal RNA
Source: RNAcentral
GACGUAGGGUGCGAGCGUUGUCCGGAUUUAUUGGGCGUAAAGGGCGCGUAGGCGGCCUUCUAAGUCAGACGUGAAAUCCCCCGGCUUAACCUGGGAACUGCGUCUGAUACUGGGAGGCUUGAGUAUGGGAGAGGGAUGUAGAAUUCCAGGUGUAGCGGUGAAAUGCGUAGAUAUCUGGAGGAAUACCGGUGGCGAAGGCGGCUCACUGGCCCGAUACUGACGCUGAGGUGCGAAAGCGUGGGGAGCAAACAGG